UACGUAGGGCGCAAGCGUUGUCCGGAAUUAUUGGGCGUAAAGAGCUCGUAGGCGGCUUGUCGCGUCGGAUGUGAAAGCUCGGGGCUUAACCCCGGGUCUGCAUUCGAUACGGGCAGGCUAGAGUGUGGUAGGGGAGAUCGGAAUUCCUGGUGUAGCGGUGAAAUGCGCAGAUAUCAGGAGGAACACCGGUGGCGAAGGCGGAUCUCUGGGCCAUUACUGACGCUGAGGAGCGAAAGCGUGGGGAGCGAACAGG
Molecule: ribosomal RNA, 253 nt
Filed under: uncultured bacterium
Lineage: Bacteria
Description: partial 16S ribosomal RNA
Rfam family: Bacterial small subunit ribosomal RNA
Source: RNAcentral